Salvelinus namaycush (lake trout) is the source of this 1832-nucleotide long non-coding RNA. RefSeq lists it as uncharacterized. The record is from RefSeq and is a predicted model, not a curated record. The transcript is spliced from 4 exons. Lineage: Eukaryota; Metazoa; Chordata; Actinopteri; Salmoniformes; Salmonidae.
UGAACAUCUCCUGCUCUGGCUGCAGCUGGGAGGGACUGCUGCAUGAGGACUGGGCCGCCUGUGAGUGCUUUGGGACGGACUUUCACGUCAGUCUCCAAGAGCACCAGGAAAAAGUCGCUAGAUUUGUCGCUAGUCGCUUUUUUGAAAAUGUGUCGCUAGAGGAGUCUGAAUACUCGCUAAAUAUAGCGACUAAAUCGCUAAAUUGGCAACACUGAGUGUCUUAGGUUAUGAGAUUGCGUGUGUGAGAGCAAGCAAUUUGCACUUGAGAGCUGUUGAAAUCCACCGUGGGUCCAACGUUACUUUAGAUUGACAUGAGAACGUUAGCUUCUUGCUAGCUGAAUACCAGUGCUCUCAGAACCACGUUGUGGAGUUGAUAACAUCAUUUGAAGCUGCUGAAUGGAUUGCUGUCUUUGGGCUGUCCAACCUGUACUGUGAUGAUGAGUACCUGCAGAUGUUUGUGGAAGCCCUAUAUAUGCUUCUCCAGAAAUUUUUAACAGGCAGCCAUACAAGGGGCUCGAUGUGGACACGGGUCCAUGCCCUUCGAUGGGCACAACCACAAGAACCUGGUCUAGCAGAUUAACACUGGAAACUACCACAAACCCACCAACACUUCAGAUGCCUGUGGGUUGAUUCGCUGGAUGCUAAUGGUGGAACCUGAGCGCAGAGCUACCAUAGAGGAGAUCACUGGACACUGGUGGCUCAACUGGGGUUAUCAGAACAUCCUACUGGCCGAGAGUGAGACUGCGACAUUGGUACAACAAAGUGAGAAGACCUCUGCAUCCGUACAGCAGUCUGGAGGCCCAGCCAGCAUUGACAGUUGGCUGCGUCGAAACUCCCAGCCCUUACUGGAGAAAAGCUCCAAGGUGCGCUGCCUGCUGCAGUUUCACGGGAGUGCAAGGAGAGCAACAUCUCCCAAACCAUGCAUUAUGCGACCACCGUUCGGCCCUCCAAGGGCAUUCUGAAGAGACGAGGCAGCCUGAAGCAGAAGGUCCUCAGAGAGGCUCCGACCCCAGUGAUAUAGGAACUAACGAAGGUCUUCGACAUCUCCCCCCUGGCCCAGCCCCCACAUGUUGCAUCGCUGCCCCGCAAAGGCAUCUUGAAGAAACCAGCCAAGCGAGAGUAUGGCUACUACUCCUCCCAAAACAACAGUGACUCUGCCCAGACACCCCAGGCCCAGCUCUGCCCCUCAGCACGCCCCACCGGAAGGGCAUCCUGAAGUGCCACAGCAAGUUCUCCUCAGUCGGACUGCAGGAGUUUAGGGCCUCUGGACCAGCUGGCGGUCUCCCUGGCAAGAGGUGGCAUCAGAGCACAACCCAGCGGAGAAAUAAGCGAGGACAGCAUCCUCUCCUCUGUCCUUUGACCAGCUGGAUCUGCCUGACUGCGUGGGACCAGUGGCGUCACUCAUGGAGUAGGUCUUGGAUGUUAGUGGCGGUCUAGCUGACCUCUGGGACGGGCAUCCCUGAACGACAAGCCCCUGGUGCCUGGGGGGAGGGGGGCAGGCUGAGCUCCAGCACACCCUCCAACUGGUCGGAGCAGCAGCAGAGAGACUCCUGUUUGAGGACAGAGCAGUAAAGAAAUUGUCUAGGAAGGGUGAAAUGAAAAGCUGUAAAACAUCAAACUUAGAGUCCUCACCAACCAAGGCCCAGAGAAAACAAUUACAUUUGUACUAUGUUUUUAAACCAGUUUGCUUCCUUAUUGAAUAAAGGAGGCCUUUUUUCUUUACCUUGUGGAAUGAACGACUAGAUUGUACUUCCAGGGAGAAGCCAGACAAACAAGGAAAAUACAAGUAUAUAUUUUUUUAUCAAAUAAAAUGUUAUUUGUCACAUGCUUCU